GAUGAAGAACGCAGCGAAAUGCGAUAAGUAAUGUGAAUUGCAGAAUUCAGUGAAUCAUCGAAUCUUUGAACGCAUCUUGCGCUCCUUGGUAUUCUGAGGAGCAUGCCUGUUUGAGUGUCAUUAAAUUCUCAACUACACUCACUUUGAAUUGGUGUGGCUUGGAUUUGGGGGGAAAAUUGUUGUGGGCUUUUUGUAUAGUCUGCUCCCCUGAAAUUGAUUAGCGGUACCUUUGUGGAACUGUCUACAGGUGUGAUAAUUAUCUACAUCUUAGACAUCUGCUGGAAUGCUGCUUUCUAAACCUUACUUGUAUUGACAAUCUUGACCUCAAAUCAGGUAGGACUACCCGCUGAACUUAAGCAUAUCACUAAGCGGAGGA
Molecule: unclassified non-coding RNA, 376 nt
Filed under: soil metagenome
Description: partial contains 5.8S ribosomal RNA, internal transcribed spacer 2, and large subunit ribosomal RNA
Rfam family: 5.8S ribosomal RNA (bases 1-120)
Source: RNAcentral